UACGUAGGGGGCAAGCGUUGUCCGGAAUCAUUGGGCGUAAAGAGCGUGUAGGCGGCCCGGUAAGUCCGCUGUGAAAGUCGGGGGCUCAACCCUCGAAUGCCGGUGGAUACUGUCGGGCUGGAGUGCGGGAGAGGAAAGUGGAAUUCCUGGUGUAGCGGUGAAAUGCGUAGAUAUCUGGAGGAACACCGGUGGCGAAGGCGGCAUCCUGGACCGGCAUUGACGCUGAGGAGCGAAAGCCAGGGGAGCAAACGGG
RNAcentral lists this ribosomal RNA (253 nucleotides) under uncultured bacterium. RNAcentral's name for it is "partial 16S ribosomal RNA". It matches the Rfam family "Bacterial small subunit ribosomal RNA", at positions 524 to 776 of the family's 1533-position model. The record is from RNAcentral.